RNAcentral lists this ribosomal RNA (252 nucleotides) under uncultured prokaryote. Its description in RNAcentral is "partial 16S ribosomal RNA". It matches the Rfam family "Bacterial small subunit ribosomal RNA", at positions 524 to 775 of the family's 1533-position model. The record is from RNAcentral.
UACGGAGGAUGCAAGCGUUAUCCGGAUUUAUUGGGUUUAAAGGGUGCGUAGGCGGAUAUGUAAGUCAGCGGUGAAACUCACAGGCUCAACCUGUGCCGUGCCGUUGAAACUGUGUAUCUGGAAUGCGGAUGCUGUGGGAGGAAUGUGUAGUGUAGCGGUGAAAUGCAUAGAUAUUACACAGAACACCGAUUGCGAAGGCAUCUCACAAAACCGUUAUUGACGCUGAGGCACGAAAGUGUGGGGAGUCAAACA